GUAAAUGAUCUGUGCCAUGUGUUGAUGGCAAAAGUUUAUUGAAUCAAUUAUAUCAUAGUCUAGACUUUUUUCUUUCUGUGUUUUGUCCUAUACUUACUUUGAUAAAUAAUUUGAUCUUUGAUGUGCUCAAGAUUCCAAAGUGUUUGUUUUGCCAAAUUAUAGGUGGUUGGUUAUGUACAAUGUGACAGAUUCUAUUUUUAUUUUUUUCAAUGUUUUGGACCUCAAAAUAUUAUAUGUGAAUCAAUGCACCUUGC
Molecule: unclassified non-coding RNA, 254 nt
Filed under: Hevea brasiliensis (rubber tree)
Lineage: Eukaryota; Viridiplantae; Streptophyta; Magnoliopsida; Malpighiales; Euphorbiaceae
Source: RNAcentral